RNAcentral lists this ribosomal RNA (397 nucleotides) under uncultured bacterium. RNAcentral's name for it is "partial 16S ribosomal RNA". It matches the Rfam family "Bacterial small subunit ribosomal RNA", at positions 523 to 918 of the family's 1533-position model. The record is from RNAcentral.
AUACGUAGGGGGCGAGCGUUGUCCGGAAUGAUUGGGCGUAAAGGGCGCGUAGGCGGCCUGUUAAGUCUGGAGUGAAAGUCCUGUUUUCAAGAUGGGAAUUGCUUUGGAUACUGAUGGGCUUGAGUGCAGGAGAGGUUAUCGGAAUUCCCGGUGUAGCGGUGAAAUGCGUAGAGAUCGGGAGGAACACCAGUGGCGAAGGCGGGUAACUGGACUGCAACUGACGCUGAGGCGCGAAAGUGUGGGGAGCAAUCAGGAUUAGAUACCCUGGUAGUCCACACUGUAAACGAUGAAUGCUAGGUGUAAGAGGUAUCGACCCCUUUUGUGCCGGAGUCAACACAAUAAGCAUUCCGCCUGGGGAGUACGGCCGCAAGGUUGAAACUCAAAUGAAUUGACGGGG